RNAcentral lists this ribosomal RNA (274 nucleotides) under uncultured bacterium. RNAcentral's name for it is "partial 16S ribosomal RNA". It matches the Rfam family "Bacterial small subunit ribosomal RNA", at positions 523 to 796 of the family's 1533-position model. The record is from RNAcentral.
AUACGGAGGGAGCGAGCGUUAAUCGGAAUUACUGGGCGUAAAGCGCGCGUAGGCGGCUUUGUAAGUCGGAUGUGAAAGCCCUGGGCUCAACCUGGGAAUGGCAUUCGAUACUGCAGAGCUAGAGUAUGGUAGAGGGAAGUGGAAUUUCCGGUGUAGCGGUGAAAUGCGUAGAUAUCCGGAGGAACAUCAGUGGCGAAGGCGACUUGCUGGACUAAUACUGACGCUAAGGAGCGAAAGCGUGGGGAGCAAACGGGAUUAGAUACCCCAGUAGUCC